This 301-nucleotide signal recognition particle RNA is filed under the name Callithrix jacchus (white-tufted-ear marmoset). Its description in RNAcentral is "Metazoan signal recognition particle RNA (ENSCJAG00000069625.1)". It matches the Rfam family "Metazoan signal recognition particle RNA". Rfam says of the family: The signal recognition particle (SRP) is a universally conserved ribonucleoprotein. Lineage: Eukaryota; Metazoa; Chordata; Mammalia; Primates; Cebidae. The record is from Rfam by way of RNAcentral.
GCCGGGCGUGGUGGCACCUUCCUGUAGUCCCAGGUACUUGGGAGGCUGAGGUGGGAGGAUCUCUUGAGCCCAGGAGUUCCGUGUUGUAGUGUGCUAAGCUGAUCAGGCAUCCCACUAAGUUCGGCAUCAAUAUGGUGAGCUCCUGGGAGCAGGGGACCACCAGGUUGCCUAAGGAGGGCUGAACUGGCUCAGGUCAGAAAUGGAGCAGGUCAAAACUCCUGUGCUGAUCAGUAGGAGGGGAUUGUGACUCUGAAUAGCCACUGCCCUCCAGCCUGGGCAACAUAGCGUGACCCCAUCUCUA